This 243-nucleotide ribosomal RNA is filed under the name Klebsiella pneumoniae subsp. pneumoniae KPNIH20. RNAcentral describes it as "partial 23S ribosomal RNA". It matches the Rfam family "Bacterial large subunit ribosomal RNA", at positions 2690 to 2925 of the family's 2925-position model. Lineage: Bacteria; Pseudomonadati; Pseudomonadota; Gammaproteobacteria; Enterobacterales; Enterobacteriaceae. The record is from RNAcentral.
GACCGGAGUGGACGCAUCACUGGUGUUCGGGUUGUCAUGCCAAUGGCACUGCCCGGUAGCUAAAUGCGGAAGAGAUAAGUGCUGAAAGCAUCUAAGCACGAAACUUGCCCCGAGAUGAGUUCUCCCUGAGACUUUAAGUCUCCUGAAGGAACGUUAAAGACGAUGACGUUGAUAGGCCGGGUGUGUAAGCGCAGCGAUGCGUUGAGCUAACCGGUACUAAUGAACCGUGAGGCUUAACCUUAC